UACGUAGGGUGCAAGCGUUAAUCGGAAUUACUGGGCGUAAAGCGUGCGCAGGCGGUUGUGCAAGACCGAUGUGAAAUCCCCGGGCUCAACCUGGGAACUGCAUUUGUGACUGCAAGGCUAGAGUACGGCAGAGGGGGAUGGAAUUCCGCGUGUAGCAGUGAAAUGCGUAGAUAUGCGGAGGAACACCAAUGGCGAAGGCAAUCCCCUGGGCCUGUACUGACGCUCAUGCACGAAAGCGUGGGGAGCAAACCGG
Molecule: ribosomal RNA, 253 nt
Filed under: uncultured bacterium
Lineage: Bacteria
Description: partial 16S ribosomal RNA
Rfam family: Bacterial small subunit ribosomal RNA
Source: RNAcentral